GGGGUUGUGGCUCAGUGAUAGAGAACUUGCCUAGCAUGUAGGAGGCAUUGGGUUCAAUCCUCAGCCACA
This 69-nucleotide transfer RNA is filed under the name Marmota monax (woodchuck). RNAcentral's name for it is "tRNA.Ala". The record is from RNAcentral. Lineage: Eukaryota; Metazoa; Chordata; Mammalia; Rodentia; Sciuridae.